GGAGGAGGCAAGCGUUGUCCGGAAUCAUUGGGCGUAAAGAGCGCGUAGGCUGUUUUUCAAGUCAUUUGUGAAAACCUCAGGCUUAACUUGAGGACUGCAUAUGAAACUGGAAAACUUGAGUGCAGUAGGGGAAAGUGGAAUUCCUGGUGUAGCGGUGAAAUGCGCAGAUAUCAGGAAGAACACCGGUAGCGAAGGCGGCUUUCUGGGCUGCUACUGACGCUGAGGCGCGAAAGCUAGGGGGGGAGCAAACAGGAUUAGAUACCCUGGUAGUCCUAGCUGUAAACGAUGGACACUAGGUGUGGGGGAGUUAUCGACGCUUUCCGUGCCGGAGCUAACGCAUUAAGUGUCCCCGCCUGGGAGUACGGUCGCAAGACUA
This 376-nucleotide ribosomal RNA is filed under the name uncultured organism. RNAcentral describes it as "partial 16S ribosomal RNA". It matches the Rfam family "Bacterial small subunit ribosomal RNA", at positions 527 to 896 of the family's 1533-position model. The record is from RNAcentral.